GUGGAUAAUCUUCCCUCAAGUGGGGAAUAACUUACCGAAAGGUGAGCUAAUACCGCAUAUGAUCACAGUGACUGAGGUCACAGGGAUAAAAGGGGGCGCAAGCUCUCGCUCGAGGAUGAGUCUGCGCCUGAUUAGCUAGUUGGCGGGGUAACUGCCCACCAAGGCGAUGAUCAGUAGCUGGUCUUAGAGGAUGUCCAGCCACACUGGAACUGAGAUACGGUCCAGACUCC
This 230-nucleotide ribosomal RNA is filed under the name uncultured bacterium. RNAcentral describes it as "partial 16S ribosomal RNA". It matches the Rfam family "Bacterial small subunit ribosomal RNA", at positions 117 to 339 of the family's 1533-position model. The record is from RNAcentral.